AUGGCGCGCACGAAGCAGACGGCGCGGAAGUCGACGGGCGGCAAGGCGCCCCGCAAGCAGCUGGCCACCAAGGCUGCCCGCAAGAGCGCGCCGGCCACGGGCGGCGUCAAGAAGCCGCACCGCUACCGGCCCGGCACGGUGGCGCUGCGCGAGAUCCGGCGCUACCAGAAGUCCACGGAGCUGCUGAUCCGCAAGCUGCCCUUCCAGCGCCUGGUGCGCGAGAUCGCGCAGGACUUCAAGACCGACCUGCGCUUCCAGAGCUCGGCCGUCAUGGCGCUGCAGGAGGCCAGCGAGGCCUACCUGGUGGGGCUCUUCGAGGACACCAACCUGUGCGCCAUCCACGCCAAGCGCGUCACCAUCAUGCCCAAGGACAUCCAGCUGGCCCGCCGCAUCCGCGGAGAGCGCGCCUGAGCUGUCGGCAGACGGAAGUUUCAGACCAUCGAAAACCCAAAGGCUCUUUUAAGAGCCACCACAACGUCAUUAAGGAGCUGUAAAAUCCUAAUUAUGUGUAAGAAGUGAUGGUUUUGGGUGGCUUAAAGUCGAGAGGAUCUUGCGCGUCAAGGGAGCCUGAGAUAAAAGAAUGCUGCCAAGGCAAAGCUGGAUGCGAGCAAGAGCUCUGUGCUGAGCAGCUGAGGACUGGCUUGACAGCUGCUGUUGGUAAUUAAGGUGCAUUUGCAGGUGAUUUUAGAUGCUCAGCAAGAUACUUGGCUAGGACUGUUCCUGGCCCUUUAUCAUCCUCCAUGGAUGAACUCGCUCAAAUUAAAAUCAUGGCCUGGAAGAAUGUUCUUAUCAGUCCAACAGGUAAAACAGAGCAUCACUACUGGCAUUCUGCUGAAAUUCUUCAUUUCAUCCAAAUACAUAAAAGGUCUGAUGACAGCAUCUUUCUAGAACAAAAAAAAAAAAAAAAAAAAAAAAUUGAAUCAGUCCUACUUGACAGCUAUUAGUUUCUGAAAAAAUCUGAACAGAUAAAUAUCCAUAUGAAAGCAAGGUUCAAAUGAGAACUUACUACUUAGAGUAAGUAUUUUGUAAAGGUGCUUUCCAUGCAGGCCAGCAUGCAAAGAUAGGUCUAAACAUGUUUCAAUCUGCAAGUCCCUCUUGAGGGCUUCUUCACCAUCUGAAUCACCUGUUCAUUCCACCAAAGUCAAGUUUGAACUUGGCCAACCACACCUCCCUGCAGGCCUGGCCAUCACUGCUCUGCCCUCUCCUCUCCUUCAGGUCACAUUCUACCUUCAGCCUGGGCCCCAGCACGUGUCAGAUUGUAGAUGUGCAAACACCAUGGUCACAACACUAUCCACAUUUAUAAAAAUUUUAUAUUAUAUAUUAGAAAGCACUUUGUCAGCUACUCCCAUGAUGGCAUUAAUUACACUGGCCACAAUAACAGGGUCUGACCCUAGGAUCCUGCUAAUUAAUGCCCUUGUCCUAGUGAAUGUUUUCAAUUUGUGUUUCAUUGGUUCUCAGGUUUCAGCUUGAGUUGGGUGUCUCUGAAGGGUGACCACUGCCCCAAAAAUUAAACUUUAAUCCCACACGGGGCACCCAGCACUCAAUUCCCAAGUCCAUCACUUGUUUCUGGUCAGUUGUCUGUUUUGUUUUAGGAGUUGU
Melospiza georgiana is the source of this 1599-nucleotide RNA transcript. It is a transcript of the gene named histone H3-like, with no coding region annotated. The transcript is spliced from 2 exons. Lineage: Eukaryota; Metazoa; Chordata; Aves; Passeriformes; Passerellidae. The record is from RefSeq and is a predicted model, not a curated record.